CUCUCAAUUUCAUCAUUAAAAUUCAACCACAAAAUAUCCAAACAUUGCAUUUAUAAGACGAUGACUUUAACAUACCACCUUAUCUCUUAGAAAGAAAAGUGGAAGAGAGGUCUCAAGCCAUCUGAACCACAAAAACUUGUUGAUAGCUGGAUAUAUUGUGAAAAACGGAAUCAGUGCAUGUAGGUAAAGCACUGUACUCAUAUUCCCAAACAAAUCCUUACAAUCAUAUAUAAAAAUAAAAUAAAAUCAUAUACAAUAAUUGCAAAAUUUUAGAAGGGUCAGCUGACCACUCUAAUUAUUCAUUGAUUCAGUCGCCAGGGCCCCGUGGCACGGAACCAUGUAGAUUUGGAGGUCGAUUUCUAGGUACGGCUAUUUUUUUUGCCAGGUUAAUAUUCUUCAUCUUCUGAAAUUCUGUAUCAAUCUUCUCUUCUGCAAUGAUAAUACAAAACUUCAUUAAUACUAAUUAUGCUAAAGAUUUGAAUGAUGUAUGCAUACAUAUACACAUAUGGCCCUUCUAGAGAGAGAUUUCUAUAUUGGAUUAAAGUUCAAUAAUCUAAACUGUUUUCAGCCUCUCUUUAAAUAUCAUCCUGACAAAAAGAUAGUUGAAUUGGAAAUCAAUUUAUGUACAUCUAAAAAAAAAUAAGCGAAUACAACAUGGCGGAGAAGCAAAUCUGACCAGUGGCGGACCUAUUAAGGCACAAGGAGGUGCAGCUGCAGCUCCUCUCGUUGGAAAAAUUAUUGUAAGUGCUUCAAAUUGCCGCUUUGCUCAGUUGGUGGUGGUGUACAGAUUACCUUAUUGUUAUAUUACUCCAUUUACUUAAGUUUAUAAUGUAAAUAAGGAAAUACCCCCCAUUUGGAUUCAAAUAAAAAUACUAGAAAAUCAAAUUCCCACCAAUACGAAAAAUCGAUUUUAGUGCAAAAUACGAUUUAGGCUAAAAAUGAAGGCUCAUUAAGUCAAUAUAUACUUCAUAAUAAAAUCCCAUAAAAUCAAGUUUUCUUAUUUGAUGUGUAAGGAAUAAAAGCUGCCAAAAAUUAUCUUGAGAAAAUGAUUAUUUCGAAAAAUUAUUUUUCAUACUUAGUCAAUAUUUUUACAUAAAACAAUUUUUGAUGUGUGAUAUGAAUGCAUGAAGGGACCUAAAGUCAAUAUAGGUAAAAAGCCUUAUAUGUUCAAUCCACAAAUAGCUUUUAGCUUUUCAAAUUGCACCUCCGCUUAAAAAUUCCUAGGUCCGCCAGUGGUUGCCCAUGCCUCCACUGUGACGGUUGUGGUUGUUAAACUGUAGAGUUUUAUGUAGUUUGUCCUAUUGUAUUUUAUUUCAUCAAGUUUUCGAUAGUAUUUAACAUUAUUCAACGGCCAAAAAGAAAGAAUGAACAUUCUCAAGCGUCCAAGUUAUUGCUAACUGUUCUCUCAAUUUCAUCAUUAAAAUUCAACCACAAAAUAUCCAAACAUUGCAUUUAUAAGACGAUGACUUUAACAUAUCACCUUACCUCUUAGAAAGAAAAGUGGAAGCGAGGUCUCAAGCCAUCUCAACCACAAAAACUUGUUGAUUGCUGGAUAUAUUGUGGAAAACGGAAUCAGUGCAUGUAUGUAAAGAACUGUUCUCACAUUCCUAAACAAAUCCUUUCAAUCGUAUAUAAAAAUAAAAUAAAAUAAUAUAUAAUAAUUGCAAAAUUUUAGAAGGGUCAGCUCACCACUCUAAUUAUUCAUUGAUUCAGUCAUUAGGGCCCCGCGGCACAGAACCAUGUAAAUCUGGAGGUCGAUCUCUAGGUACGGCUUUUUUUUUUGCCAGGUUAAUAUUCUUCAUCUUAUGAAAUUCUGUAUCAAUCUUCUCUUUUGCAAUGAUAAUAUAAAACUUUAUUAAUACUAAUUAUGCUAAAGAUUUGAAUGAUGUAUGCAUACAUAUACACAUAUGGCCCUUCUAGAGAGAGAUUUCUAUAUUGGAUGAAAGUUCAAUUAUCUAAACUGUUUUCAGCCUCUAUUUAAAUAUCAUCCUGACAAAAAGUUAGUUGAAUUAUUGGAAAUCAAUUUAUACAUUAAAAAAAAAUAAGCGAAUACAACAUGGCGGAGAAGAAAAUCUACCCUUGCCUCCACUUUGGCGGUGGUGGUUGUUAAACUGUAAAGUUUUAUGUAGUUUGCCCUAUUGUAUUUUAUUUCAUCAAAUUUUCAAUAGUAUUUAACAUUAUUCAACGGCCAAAAAGAAAGAAUGAACAUUGUCAAGCGUCCAAGUUAUUGCUAACUCUUCUCUCGAUUUCAUCAUUAAAAUUCAACCACAAAAUGUCCAAACAUUGCAUUUAUAAGACAAUGACUUUAACAUACCACCUUACCUCUUAGAAAGAAAAGUGGAAGAGGGGUCUCAAGCCAUCUCAACCACAAAAACUUGUUGAUCGCUGGAUAUAUUGUGGAAAACGGAAUCAGCGCAUGUAGGUAAAGCAUUGAGGACCAAAAGGGUCACCCAAACAGUGCCCACGCGCCGGCAGCGUGUGGGUGCCCAGAGAAAUUCAUGCGAUCGGAAAAUCUCCAAACCGUCAGUCAAGACCUGUACCUACAUGAUAAGGACAACGAGUGGAGCAAUUUUUGUUCUUGUUCCAAGCCCAAAAAGUGGCCGGAGAUAGCCAGAUCAAAGCUGGAAACAUGCGAUUUUAACCAAAAUUUCACGGCCUCGAUACGGCGGCGACAUCCAUCUACGCCGUUGCACAACCUAGGAAACAGCAAGAGGGAAGAGAGGGCUACCUGUUCCAAUUGACGGCGCAGCUCGAGUUGGUCGGAAACGUCACCGAUGAAGGUGGCAGUUUCUGCCCUUUCUUCCCCUCGAAACCGCCGCCGAAUACCAGGUUUUUGGUCAGAGAUAAGAGCAAGUCCAGCGCUCUACCCAAAACUAGGCAAAAUGCUGCCCUCGCAAGCCCAACCCCCUCCAGCGCGCAAGAAUGAGCCUGGGCAAUCGGUGGGUCCCACCAACCCGGGCAGGCCUAAGGGCAAGUCUCGCCUGGGCUUCAGCCCGAGGGCAGUAACGUCAGUGCAAGGUAAUUCAAUUUUUUUUUUUAUCGUUGGCUCGUGAAUUACACGUGCGAACGGUAAAAAAAUUUGACUUCCGCGCGCUGACGUCGCCCCUGACAGACUCCAACGGGCAUUUGACAGGUGUCGCAACCGGGCCUCUUCGAUGGGUUUUUUUCCAGAAAUCCGACGGUCCUCGUUUUUUUGGCUAAAAAAAUUCCAAAAAAAAUCGAAAAAAAUUCUGAAAUUUUUUUUAAAAAAUACCAAAAAAUUAUGUAUUUUUUCCCUAUAAAUACCUAACCAUUUUAUUUACUUUCCACACCAAAUCUUCAUACAAUUUCUUCUCCCUCCAAUAUUUUUUACUCUCCACUCACAUUUUUCACUUCCCACACCAAUUCUCCAUACAAACUCUUCUCCUUCCAAUAUUUUUACUCUCCACUCACAUUUUUCUACUACUUUCCAUUUGUAUAAAUAAAAAAAAACAAAUGGCAUCUUCUGUCAAAACCGAAGGCUCGUGGUCAACUCAGGAAGAUAUUGCGUUGUGUCAGUCUUGGGUGAACGUUAGUCAUGACCUUAUCACGGGCAAUGAGAUGAAGUUCCAUCAUAUGUGAAGCAAAAUUCAUGGAGAAUUUUGUCAACGAUCGAGUUCCAUUCGGACCGAAAUGACCUUGUCUAGUAGAUGGAAACUUCUGAAUAAAGAGUUAGGGAAAUGGAGAAAUGCCUUGACAAAAGCAAGGGAGAACAUUCGAAGCGGUCAAAAUCUUACUGAUGAGGUAAAAUAUUUAUAAUUGUCAUUUUAAUCAAUUUAAUGUAACUUUUUUUUUAUUGCAUAUUCUAUUUCUUUUUCUUGCAUAAUCUUUUUUUUUUCUUUUUGCAUUUCCAAUUUGUCUAUAUUUUAUUGCAUAAUCAAUUUUAUUCUUGCAUUUCAAAAUAGUUUAUAUUUUCUUGCAUAAUAAUUUUUUUUUUCCUUGCACUUCCAAUUAUUUAUUUUUAAUAGAUCAUCCAAGCAAAAAUGUGUUUCGGUGCCAUGGGGCAAGGCAAAAAAAGUUUCGUGCAUUUUCAAUGUUGGGAAGUUGUGAAGGAUUGUUCGAGACUCAAAAUUAUUCCCCCCGGUCCGCUGGUUGUGUUGAAUGAGACGCCGCUCCACGAUUCGCCAUCAACCGAUUCGCCAUUGGACUCCCCAAUGGAAACGGAGUCACCACUCCCACAUCCGCCGACACCUAUUGGGAGAAAGGCGGCAAAGACCAAGAGAGGGGGCACUUCGAACAAUGAAUGUGUACAAUUAUUGGAGCAAAUAGCUAAGAAUACCUCACUAAGAAUUGAGAGAGACUUGAAAAGAGAUGAAGCGGACAUGGCACAAGAGGAAGCAUUUGUAAUUCAACAACAGCAUGCACAAGAAAAAGACAUGGAUGAUAGAGAGAUGAAAAUCAUGGCCAUGGAUACGAGCCAUAUGUCUCUUGAAACAAAGGCCUAUUGGAAGCAUAGACGAAGGGAUGUGAUGAGAAGAAAACUUUUCCAUGACGACGGACCUAGCAAUACGGAUUGGUUAAAUGAUGAAAACCAUUAGGUUAUAUUGAAACACCUUUGUUAUAUGUUGUAUUGUUGUAUUGUUGUAUUGUUUCCUUUUCAUUAAAUAAAAAAAGCAUUAAAUAAUAUGAUUAUUUAUUAAAAACAUUUGAGCAUCAAAACAAAGAUUAAUUAAAAACAAACCUUAAUUUAUUGCAAACAACACACAAAACAAACCAUACAUAAAAGCAUAAUAAUAAAACAAAAGCAUAAUUCCAAAAAACAUCACACACAAAAUAAAGCAUAAUUAAAAACAAAGCAUACUUCCAAACAAAGCACUAAUCUUGACUUCAUCCAUUGUGAUUGCCUUUCAUCUCCCACAAGUGCUCAAUCAAGUCAACUUGACGUCUCUCGUGAACAUAUGAAGAUUGCAUUUCUUGAUAACGAUCAAUCAUGGGGUUGUUGAAUCGACCAUCUCGAACUAACGGUUCGGGCUCCAUUGGUAGUCCAUUUGGUCCCAUCGGCCUUUCAUAUAUUCUUGUCAACGCCGUGUUCAUGGGAUCGGGUUCAAACACCUCUAGAGCAUCGUAGUCAUACUCAUCCUCCACAAUCAUGUUGUGAAGUAUGAUGCAAGUCAUCAUAAUACUCCGCAACACCUCCUCAUCUAGCAUCCGAGCAGCACCCCUAAUAAUUGCCCAAUGAGCUUGCAAGAUACCGAAACACCUUUCCACGUCUUUCCUGUAACCUUCUUGAAAGGAAGCAAAGCUUCUUUCCUUCUCGGAUUGGGGAUUCGGAAUUGUUUUCACGAAUGUCGUCCACCUAGGAUAAAUUCCGUCGGCAAGGUAGUACGCACUAGAGUAUACGGUAUCGUUGAUUUGGUACUUGAUCUGGGGGGAAUGACCUCGCAAUACCUCGUCGAACACCGGGGAUUGACCAAGGACAUUGAGGUCAUUCUGAGAUCUGGCAACCCCAAAGAAGGCAUGCCAAACCCAACAGUCGAAUGAAGCUACGGCCUCCAAAAUUAUACUUUUUUGGCCCUUCCGAUUCCCGUACUCUCAUUGCCAAGCAGUAGGACAAUUCUUCCACUGCCAAUGCAUGCAAUCAAUGCUUCCAAUCAUGCCUGGAAAACCUCGAGUCUCUGCUUUUUGUAGCAGCCUUUGCAGAUCCCUCGGCGUGGGUCUGCGAAGGUGCUCCCUCAUGUACAAAUUUUCCACUGCAUCACAGAAUCUCACCAAGCACUCUAGGAUAGUUGAUUUUCCCAUCCUUGCAAUCUCAUCCACCUGCUCUGCAGAUGCCCCAUAAGCAAGCAUCCGCAAAGCAGCUGUAAGUUUUUGCUCCGGGAUAAGACCCAAAACUCCAACAGCGUCAUGCUUUUAAAUGAAGUAUGUGUCGUAAUUACAAAUAUCAUGCAUGAUUUUUUGAAACAAAUGUGGAUGCAUUCUAUAUCUCUCUCGAAACUUAUGACCAGGAUAUAACGAAUUUGGGAUAAAGUAAUCCUCCAAGAGAUUCUUACCCCGAGACUCCCUACGUCUGUCCACAUUUGGGGCACGAGGACGACGGUGUUGCCUUGAUUGAUUAAGCAUACACACCACUGCUGCAAGCAUUUGUUCCUCUUCUUCAUCGGUGUCCAUAUCUUCUUCAGCACGUCUAUGCCGGAUUUCUUACCUUUCUUUCUGUUGCCUCUCCAACACCCUCCUCAAGUUUGACAUUGAGAGUAGAAUGUGUUUUGUAAAAUCUGGUAAAUGAAGGAAUAGAUAAGAGAUGGUGUGAGAGGUAUGAGUUGAUGGUGUAGUUUUAUAGAGGGAUUCAGAAGAUAGAGAUGACACGUGGCACAAUUUUAGAGGGUGAAAAUCUUAUCUGAAAUCUGAGAUUAUAAUUUUAAAAAAAAUAUUUGAAAAUCUUAUCUGACAGAGAUGACAUGUGGCACAAUUUUAGAGGGUGAAAAUCUUAUUUGAAAUAUGAGAUUAUAAUUUUUUUUUUAAAUAUCUGAAAAUCUUAUCUGACAUGGGACACGUGGCACAAUUUUAGAGGGUGAAAAUGUUAUCUGAAAUCUGAGAUUAUAAUUUUUUUUAAUGAAUAUCUGAAAAUUUUAUCUAGAAUAAGACACGUGGCAACCGAGAUUCUCAUCCGAAAAUCUUUUCAGAAAAAUAAGGGACACGUGACAACCAAAAAUCUUAUUCGAAAAUUUAAUUACAAAAGAUUAUCAAAAUUAAUGAUUUAAAGUAUAAAAAAAAUAGGAAAUAAAGUACAAUGAAUAAUAUUUGCCUUAGACUUGUCCUAGACUUAGCCCUCAUGGGUGGAACCACAAAUGGCAAGGCUGCCACUAUUCAUGUGAAUAGUGGCAGCCCUUGCUUGCCCUUGCCCUAGACUUAGCCCUUAUGGGUGGAGUUGCUCUAAGGGGUGGGCUGGGUAGAGGAGAGAGAGAGAGGAAGAGUUUGCAAGUAGUGGCUUCGGAAUUAGUGGCCAGACGGCGGCGUUCUAGCCGUCUAAAAAUCGGCUAAAAAAAUGGGGGGAAGGGCUCUCGCCGCACGGGAGGAGAGAGAGAGAGAGAGAAAAUUCUGACUUUAAAACUGAACUUCAAAAUAUUUACGGUUAUGCCACUGGGCUUCCAUAGAUCGUAACUUCUUUAUUAAAACUCCGAUUUGAGCCCACUACGUGUCUACGGACUCAUCUCGAUGUGCUCUACGCAACGGUACUACUAAAAUCCCCAAUUUCUUUCAUGAACAAAAAGUCAAUUUUUAAACCCAUUAAAAUAUUCUCGAGAUAAAAUUUUAUUUUUCUUGAAUAAUUUAAUAAUUAAAUAUUAAUUUAGGAUCAUGUUAUUACAUAAAUAAUGGCAUUAGAUGUCAAAUUACUGCAUUUUGAUUUUUGAGGAAAAAAAAAAGUUAAGUGGGCCAUUCCCUGGUCACGCAGUAUCGUUUGUAGGAGUUCGUCUGUGGUGCAUCGGCUGUACCGGUACGCCGAUCACAUGCUAGUCACGUGGGCUUUUUUUUUAAAACAAUUGAAACUGGUUGUUUUGGUUAACCAGUUAAAAUGAGGAAAAAAAAUCAUGCUCCUUCAAAACCUAGGAUGCGUACUCGAUUUCGUCUAUCUCCUCCUCCAUCGCUUUGCACAGCCACAGCUCUAUUUCGUUGAAGUCACAGCUGCACAGCUUUCUAUAGCCUGAAGAAGCUCCCCCCACUUCGUCUUCUCCAUCUGAGGAGCAGAUUUCAGCCAAAACCCAGAAACCCACUUCGUCUUCUCCAUCUGAGGAGCAGAUUUCAGCCAAAACCCAGAAACCCACUUCGUCUUCUCCAGCUGCUUCCUCCAUCUCGGUAAGUUCGUGUGUUGAUUUUCGUUAUGUGUAAUUGAUGGUUCUAUUUAAUUUAUUCUUCUUUUGUGUGAAUUUUGACCGGUGUGGCUGUAAAUGAAAUUUUGGGUUUUGCCAUUUAUUUGUUCCUUUUAAAAUUUAAUAUGUGAUUUACAAUUUGGCUGUAAAUGAGAAUUUGGUAGAUUAUUGUGCAGUUGAUUAAAGAAUUUAGAAAAUUAAAGUUAUGUACUUAACGAACUGCUCUAUUUUUGCUUUUCAGUAACUUGCUGCUCUAGGUAAACAUCGAUUUGUCUUCCCUUUUUGUGCCAAAAGAUAGACAACUCCAAUUUUAUCGCAUAUAUUUUUAUGUUCUGUAAUGAUUGUUAGUAAGUAAUCUCUAUUAAGUCAGCCAACCAGCUUUCAUUUUCUCUUUUUUGGUAAUUAAAUCAAGGAUUUUGUUAUCAUGUUUAUAUGAUGUGAGUGAGGUGAUUUUUGGUGCUGUAAAUUGCUAAUCACUAGUGAUUUUGAAUUGUUGUUUCAGUUUUUUCACUGAACAAUUCCAGAAAUUAAUUAUUCAAAUUUUGUAUUUCUUUUCCCACUCUGCAUUUCUGCUGGGUUGUUAUAGUGCCUCUUGAUCUGAUUGUAUAUAUAAAUACCCAUGAGGCCUCUGAUUGUGUAUGAUUUAAUUGUGGUGGGAACUUCACUUCACAUAGGACUUGGCAAGCAAGUCGAUGUUUCAGUAAUUUGUUGGUUUUCUGAAGCCUGUAUUGCAAGCAUUAGUGCCUGGUAUGAAGCACUCGUUUCAGUCUCUUAAGAUAUGCCAUGUAGAAACCCGGAGAUCAUUUAUGUACCCUUUAUGUUGGUAUGUGUUUGCUUGAAUUCCAAAUACUUGGAGGGUGUUGAUAUGUUUAAACUCAACUUUAAGAACUUGAAAGGGAAGAUGGGGGUCUGUUGUGUGAACAAAAAUUUAUUAGGUAGUCAAAAUAUAAAGCUUCUGUUGGUCAGAUUUUUGGUGUAUUUGAUUAGAGUCCUUCUGUACAGCCGAGCACGUGAAUUUUUUUAAAAUACAAGGGAAACCAGCUGACCUGGUCAACAAGUAAACGAUUUCACGAGCUGCUGCUAAGGUGAACAGGUAAACGAUUUCACAUGCACACUCAGUUGACAUUCUUCUUCCGCAAAGUGGUAUGCUUCAACUUCAAACUGAUAAUCUUCAUCAUCUUCAAAGUCAUUUUCUUCAACUCCUCUUCUGUAGAAAGUUUCUUCCUCCUUUCUGCAACCUCUCUCUCUCUUCUUUGACAUCAUUGUCAAAAACCACCUAUUCUAGGGUUUGAAUUUUGGGGAAAAUUUUAGGGGUUAGCAUUUUGGGUUGAUAAUAGGAAUUGGAAUUCAGUUUUUCCAGUCACUGGUGGGUUAUUGGCACUCCUCUCGUCUGCAAUCGAGCCCUUGUGAAAGCAUUUGGUAUUAGUUCCUUGUGAAGGUAAGUUAACAUUGUUUUAUGGUAUUGUUAAUUGAAAUUCUGUGGUGAUGACUUGGGGCAAGAGGGGAAGUAGGCUUCUCACAUUCAUGAGAUGAAGUGGGUUUGUCAUUUUGAAAGUGUCGUGAGGUGAAGUGGGUAUCUCACAUUCAUGGUUGUAAUGUUCAUGCAAUUGCAUAUCUCUAUAUGCAAUUACUAAUAGCCUGUAUGCAAAUCCAAGUCAUUGAAUGCAAUUAGAGUAUAUAGUUUUGUUUUCAAAUUAUGCAAGUGAGGUGAUUUCGUGGUAGGUAGGUAGGUUUGACUGUGUUUUUGAAUAAUUUGUUAUAGGGAGUAAAGUGUUCCGAAAGUGUAAUGUUAGGCUUCGUUAAGAUUUGGAUUGGGAUUUGAAAUGAGUAAGAAUCUCGGCCCAAUAGAGAAAUGCAUGUGUGGGUUGUGUGCAUUAUCUAUGCAAUGUUAUAAUCGAGGGCUGAUGCACUUGCAAGUAGUAUCGAGCAAUUGCAUAUCAGUAUAUGCAAUUACUAAGCAACUGUAUGCAAAUCCAGGUCGCCGUAUUUUUUUAAUUAAGCAAUGUGAUGUUGUGGUGUUUACGGGGUUUAGGGGGUAUUAGGCUUUGGAUUAGUAUUCAAAUUCUCGGCGCUAGAGACAAUUGCAUGAUAGUGUUUUGUACUUGAUUUGUGCAAGUUAUGGAAGCUCAAAAAAGGGGAUCAACAAAAGGAAAGCGCAAAGUCGACAGUAAUGUGCAACAAUCAAGAGUUGGCCGAGAUGCAUUUUUUAAUUUCAUGUAAGUUACACGUACAUCUAAAAAUCGGAAAUGUAGUUGCUUAAUAUUAUGAUGGUUUUUUGAUUAAAAAUAAAUGAUUUACAAAAAAAAAAAAAAAGAAAAAAAAAGACAUAAAAUGGGGAAAGUGGCAAAUGCAAAGUUGGACAAUAAGGUGAGAGAUGGCAAUGGAUUGGGUUAGUUUAUUAAUUAUUUUAUUAAAAAGGCUCUGUUAAUGAGAUUUUUUUUUCCAGGUACAAGAAGAGAUUGCUAAUAAAUGGAGGAAAUUAAACCUUAAAGAGAAGGCUACAUAUGGUUCUGCCUUGGAAGGUUCGAGUGGGCAAGUAAACGACUCAGUGAAUGAGAAGGGUUUUAUCACUAGAUGCAGCCCGGACCGAUUCCAAAAAACACGCGUCUAAAGGAAGUAAGGGAGUUUGUUCGAAGAGUCGUCGACGAACAACUUGGCAAGUUGGCCGAACAUGGUCCCUUCAUCCCUCAUCAUCCCAUCGCAAGGAAGCCAAUAACACACUCCCAAGCAAAGUAGAAAGUUUGACAGUAAGUCAUAAGGGUUUACAGUUUACAAAUUAGGUGUAAUUGCAUGUAUAUAUCCCUAUUUGCGCACAGUCAGGGUUCUUUUGUAAUAUAGCAAGUGCAAUUGCAUGACACGACCGUCGCACGUCAUGUAAUUCCAUUAUUCGCUUACAAAUGGUUUUUUGGUUUUCUUCACGACAUUGAAACAUUUCACGACCAGAUUGAACCGCCUAGUUUCAUUUGUUUGCUAUGGUACAUGUCUUGUUUCAAUAUUCAUCCACUAUAAUUCUAUUUUAUUUCUAUUACUUUGUAUUUAGAUAUAAUUUAGAUAUAAUAAAUAUAAGAAUAUAUUGAUUUUAUACGAACAUGACUCUCUCGUUUUCGAUGCACUUCAGAUUUUUUCUAAAGAACUAAAGAAAACAAAUUACAAAUAUAAAAAUCUAAUUUUUUUUGUUUAGAAUUUAUAAUUAUAUAGAAUUUUCUUCUAUAUACUAUAUAAUAUAAUACUAUAUAACAUAUAAUAAUAUACUAUAUACCGGUACAGCCACUCACAUGGGGGUGUUUUUAAAACAAGGGAAAACGGUUGUGUUGGUUAACAGGUUAAAAGCAAGGGGAAAAAUUGACGCGCCUCCUUCACGACACUCCUUCCCCUUCUUCCUAAUACCUCACCUAUCUUCUCUCUAGUUCAUUUUCUUUCUGUUUGGCUCAAUUCUAACAUAAUAUCAUGACUGAUUUCUCUUAUUCACAUGCUUGAAUCUUGAGAACCCUCUUCUUAGAAAUCCCAAAUUUAUUUGAUUUCUUCUAUUUCCCCAAAUCUGAUUCACCUUUGAUUCAUUAAACUUCAACUAUUAUUUAUUAUGGCUUGUACUAAAUCUCCAAUUGCUGCCCUUUUACUAAAUCCAAAUGGAGCAGAUGCACACGAAGUUGCAGUCAUGAGCUGAUGAAAACUUCCUUCUCUUGCGAAAUAUGUGAAAAAUGGAGAAGCUGGGAUGGGUUUGAUUGAUUUUUGGGUUUAAUUGAUUUUUCAUGUUCGGGUUUGAUGGAGCUGUGUUGGAUUCUUGAUGUCUUGGUUUGAUUGAUUUUUGAUACUUGUGUUUCUUUUAGACGGGAAGAGAGAGAGAGAGAGAGAGAGAGAGAGAGAGAGGGAGCUGAGGGAAUAGGGGAGGGGGAGAGGUGUCGGGAAGGGAAGGAUGGGAUGGGUUAGCUAUUUUUACGUUUUUGCAUCAUGGUACGUGCAAUUGCAUGGUCUUUUUACAAUUAUCCAAUUAUUAUGAGUAAUUACAUGUAAGUUCAUAGUAUGUCUUGAAAUUUUAUAUGCAAUUAUUUACAAUGGAUGUGCAAUUGCACAACAAUUCUAAGACAUGCAUUAACAACUGAAACAUCAAUAAAGGCGUAGUCUCUUUGAAAUUCCUUCCACUAUUUGGAAAUUGCAUGGUUGUCAAUACAAAUGCUAACGACACAAAUUACGUUCAAUUACACAUUACUCAUAUCGCAAUUGAAUUUAUAACUUACAUCCUAAAGUCGAAUAAGUAUAAGAAAUCGCUAUUACACUUCGUAACUGAGACCCUAAAGCCUAAUAAGCCUAAUUUAAAUUAAUAAAAAAAAACCCCUUAAAUAUCAACAUACCAUCCAUAAGUAUCACUAAUAAUCCUAUCGCUCAAAAUAAGUGACCGAUUAAUUGGUUCCCAUUUUUCUUGGCAAAAAAAACUGGUUCUCUUUUUUAAUUGUUACAUAUACUAUGUACUCAUUAAAAUAUUAUAUUUGACUAAAAGAAAUUAAAAUAUUAUAUAAUAAUGUAUAGAUACCCAUAGAAAAGAAUAAUUAGACUAUCUAUAUUAUAUUUAGACAAAAAAAAAAUGGAUAUAACUAAUGUAAGGUUUAACAUUGCAAUUGAGAGUCAUACUGUAAAUCUAAACUAUUUACUCGAGACCUGAAUCCAAUUUCUUCACCUCACAGAGAUAAGGCCAAGGAUUACAAUAUCAACCAUGUAAAUAAUAUAGGGCCUCCAAUUUACGGUUAUUUCGGGGGAUAUAUUAUUAUCGUCUUAGGUAUCGGAAAAAAAAAGAAGAAGACAGAUAUAGGUAUUGAAACACAUAAUUUUGGUAUAAAACUUUCAUAAAUGUUAUGUACAUUAUCAAUGAAUGUAUUGAACAAAUAAAACUCAAAAUUUACUAAUAAUAAGAUAUACAUAUGAUGAAAUAUAAGUGGUAUGUAAUGCGUGUUAAUGAAAAGUUUGAAAAUAAAAUGUUGAUUGGAAUGAAUAAACCAUGCAUAAAUCCAUAGUUUGUUUUAACAUUGGAUUACAAUUUAGAUAAGUGUCCAUCUACAUAAAUGAAGAGCUCCAAUGAGGUUCAAACAAUGAGGAACAACCAUCUAGAUUCAUACAAUAGUCAUACCAAGUUACAUAACCCGAGCAGUUUGUAAGCCAUGUUUGAACAUGGUGCACAUAGGUCUCUCUUGAGCUCUCUACUAUCUUCCCAUAUAUGAGAUAGUUAAGAUUAACCCAACUAGUAGAAAAGGGCGGCCCUGAAAUAGUGCAAGUGGCGCCAAUACACAGGGCCCCUGAUUUUUGAGGACCCCCUAAAUUUUUUUAUUUUACAUAAUUUAUAUUAAUAUUAUAACAACUGUAUAUAUACUCCAACGUGCAACAAAUUGACACAAAAAUUUAUUUAGUGGAGUUGGUUUCUAGUGCAUAUCCCUUGGUACAAGGCUUACAUGAAAAAUUUUAAGAACCACAUUUUAAAUAGUUUUAAAAAAGAAGCACCUGAAAAAUAUCAGGGGAAAGAUCCAAUUAAAUUAACAAUACUAAUAUCACACCCAUACGCUUUUUCUUUAAAAAAUAAUAAUAAUAAUUUCUUCGACUCAAAACAAAACAAAACAACAUAAAAAAUAAAAAAUCAUGUCUUCUUCUUUCUCAUGAACUCUUAUUUUUUUUCUUACCGAACACACCAACAUUUAACUUUAUCAAAUGAACACAACGUACUCAACAAACGCAACCCUUGCGUUCGCGUGAAAAACAGUGUGUUUGUUUGAAAAAGAAGGUUAGUGGGGUCCAUUUUCCUGAGGAACGGGCAACUUUACUCUACGAACGCACUCCUUGCAUUCGCAUGAAUAAAUAUCCCGUUUGUUUGAAAAAGUAAGUUUCUUUGGCCCAUUUUUCCGGGGAACAGGCAACUUUACUCAACGAACGCAACCCCAGCGUUCGCGUGAACAAAUAGCCCGUUUGUUUGAAAAAUUAAGUUAGUUGGACCCAUUUUUCCGGGGAAUGGGCAACUUUACUCAACAAACGCAACCUCUAUAGCCCGUUUGUUUGAAAAAUUAAGUUAGUUUGGCCUAUUUUUUCGGGGAACGGGCAACUUUACUUAACAAACGCAACCCCUGCGUUCGCGUGAACAAAUAGUCCGUUUGUUUGAAAAAGUAAGUUAGUUGGGCCCAUUUUUUUAGGAAACGGACAACUUUACUCCACGAACGCAACCCAUUGCGUUCGCGUGAACAAAAAGCCUGUUUUUUUGAAAAAGUAAGUUAUUGGGCCAAUUUUUCCGAAGAACGAGCAACUUUACUCAAUGAACGCAAUCCCUGCGUUUACAUGAACAAAUAGCCUGUUUGUUUAAAAAAGUAAAUUAGUUUGGCCAUUUUUUCAGGGAACGGGGAACUUUACUCAACGAACGCAACCCCUGCAUUCGCGUGAACAAAUAGCUUGUUUUCUUGAAAAAGUAGGUUAGUUGGGCCCAUUUUUCCGGAGAACGGACAACUUUACUCAAUGAAUGCAACCCAUUGCGUUCGCGUGAACAAAUAGCCCGUUUGUUUGAAAAAGUAAGUUAGUUGGGCUCAUUUUUCCGGGGAACGAGCAACUUUACUCAACGAACGUAACCUCUGCGUUUAUGUGAACAAAUAGCCCGUUUGUUUGAAAAAGUAAGUUAGUUUGGCCCAUUUUUUCAAGGAACAGGCAACUUUACUCAACGAACGCAACUCCUGUGUUCGCAUGAACAAAUAGCCCGUUUGUUUGAAAAAGUAAGUUAGUUGGGCCCAUUUUUCUAGGGAAUGGACAACUUUACUCAACGAAUGCAACCCCUGCGUUCGCAUGAACAAAUAGCCCGUUUGUUUGAAAAAGUAAGUUAGUUUGGCCCAUUUUUUCGAGGAACGGGCAACUUUACUCAACGAACGCAACCCUUGCGUUUACGUGAACAAAUAGCCCGUUUGUUUGAAAAAGUAAGUUAGUUGUGCCCAUUUUUUGUGGAACAUGCAAGUUUAUUCAACAAACGCAACCCAUGCGUUUACGUGAACAAAUAAUGCGUUUGUUUGAAAAAGUAAGUUAGUUUGGCCAAUUUUUCCGGGGAACGGACAACUUUACUCAACGAACGCAAACCCAACGUUCGCGUGAACAAAUAGCCCGUUUGUUUGAAAAAGUAAGUUAGUUGUGCCCAUUUUUCGUGGAACAUGCAAGUUUAUUCAACAAACGCAACCCUUGCGUUUACGUGAACAAAUAGCCCGUUUGUUUGAAAGUUUGGCCCAUUUUUCCGGGGAAUGGCCAACUUUACUCAACGAACGCAACCUCUGCGUUCGUGUGAACAAAUAGCUCGUUUGUUUGAAAAAGUAAGUUAGUUGGGCCCAUUUUUCCGGGAACGGACAACUUUACUCAACGAACGCAAUCUCUUGCGUUCGUGUGAACAAAUAGCCCGUUUGUUUGAGAAAGUAAGUUAGUUGGGGCCAUUUUUCCGCAGAAUGGGCAACUUUACUCAACGAACGCAACCCUUGUAUUUGCGUGAACAAAUAGCCCAUUUGUUUGAAAAAGUAAGUUAGUUAUGGCUAUUUUUCCGGACAAUGUGUAUUACAACGUAAUUUCGAUAAUUGGUCAUUUUGUAAUAUAAUAUGUUCGCCUUAUUGCCCAUUACCAUUUCUCAUGCUCCGUAUUUCGGUUAAUUUCGACCUUCGAUUUAUAGUUCAAAAAACAGGUGUAAUUAUGCCUGUACAAAAGAGUAUGAUUCAAUUUUCUGAACAAUUAAGGGUUUGCGCACAGAAGGACUUGCAUUGCAGCAUUGUCAUGCAAUUGCAUGUGCUAAAGGCAAAUACCGACCCCCUGUGUGCAAACUGAACAAAGCUUAACAACGCUAUGCUGAUUAAUGUAUAGCGCAAUGACAAACAAAACCAAGCACAGACUUUAUUAUGACCCUAUGUCUAUUAUUCAAUAUUAGGGUUAAUGACAUUGUGUUGUACACAAUUCGGGAUCUACCCUCAAGUUAUUUGUGGUACAUAAUGUGUAGUACAACGUAAUUUCGAUAAUUGGUCGUUUUGUAAUAUAAUAUGUUCGCCUUAUUGCCUAUUACCGUUUCUCAUGCUCCGUAUUUUGGUUAAUUUCGACCUUCGAUUUAUAGUUCAAAAAACAUGUGUAAUUAUGCCUGUACAAAAGAGUCUGAUUCAUUUUUCCGAACAAUUAGGGGUUUGCGCACAGAAGGACUUGCAUUGCAGCAUCGUCAUGCAAUUGCAUGUGUUAAAUGCAAAUACGGACCCCCUGUGUGCAAAGUGAACAAAUCUUAACAACGCUAUGCGGAUUAAUGUAUAGCGCAAAGACAAACAAAACCAAGCAAACACUUAGUUGCCCCUAUGUCUCUUAUUCAAUAUUAGGGUUAAUGACAUUGUCUUUUACACAAUUCGGGAUCUACCCUCAAGUCAUUUGUGCUACAUGACAAUGUGUAGUACAACGUAAUUUCGAUAAUUGGUUGUUUUGUAAUAUAAUAUGUUCGGCUUAUUUGCAUUACCGUUUCUCAUGCUCCGUAUUUUGGUUCAUUUCGACCUUCGAUUUAUAGUUCAAAAAACAGGUGUAAUUAUGCUUGUACAAAAGAGUAUGAUUCAAAUUUUCUAAACAAUUAGGGGUUUGUGCACAAAAGGACUUGCAUUGCAUCAUCGGCAUGCAAUUGCAUGUGUUAAAUGCAAAUACCGACCCCCUGUGUGCAAACUGAACAAAGUUUAACAACGCUAUGCUGGUUAAUGAAUGUAUAUACCAAAGAACAACAAAGCUUAACAACGGUAUGCUGAUUAAUGCUGAUUAAUGAAUGUAUAAUAUUAAUUGUUACAUGUAAACCAAGUUCGAAAACUACAAUUGUUUUGGGUUGAACCAGUGCAUAGGGAAUUAGGUUCCCCAUUGUCGAAUGAGAAACCAUCGUCACUGUUGGGGGUAGAACCGGUUGGGUCUGCAGUAGAAAAACUAUCAGAACCAGGCAAAUUAACCACAUAGUUCCCAUGGCAUUGAGAAACCGUUUGACUAGGAUAACUGUAGCUAAUGUCCGGGAACGGCCGGAUAUCAGAAGUAUACUGAUAUCCUUCACUACCUGAUGGGAUAUUCACACCUGCAUGUCUACUUGGAUGCAAAUUUCUUUGAGAGCAAUUACGCUUUGUAUGUCCAUAUCCGUGACACAAAUGACAUUGUCGACGCUUGCGCAUUCCACCCUGCCUUGCUUGAGUGCCUUUUGUCCUAACGAUAUUUGGAUCUUUCACAAUAUUUGGAGGACAUUGCUCACCAGUACCCAAUUUCAGACUUGUCUGUUCUUCCUUUUGCCGUAAGCCUUCACAAAUUCCCUCCCAUCUACUAAACUCAUUCGUCAACAUGGCAUAACCAUCUGCACUCUUCGAUGCAUAAAAACAAACUUUGUUUGACAUAGCACUUAAAUGUCCAUACCUCGCCAUUUCUACAACUUCGUUGGUUGUGUCUUCGCCUUUGCCGAUAAAUUCCCUACAUGUAUCAGUUUGGCCAUUCUUUGUCCAUCUCUUCAUUAUGAGUGCGGGAGGAAUUUCCGUAAGGUGCUCGCACUUCAUUACAUAAAAUAGGUGGCAACACGGGAUCCCUUCACUUUCAUAUUUCCGGCAUCCACACUCUAUCCGCAUAUUUUCCCCACCGUGGUAAAUACAAGUCCAAUUAUUAUGCGGUUCAUCAUAUUUUGACAAUACGUAUACACGACCUCCAAAAUUAUGCAUCACAUUAUCAUGGGUGAGUGCUGAACAAGCUUCGAUCUCAUGACGUACCAAUACAAAACACCUAUGCGUGUAAAUCAGAGAAGCUUGUUGCUCGAGUUUUGUCAAUCCGGUUUUAAGGACCGGUGUUGAGUACUUUGCAUUGAAACCUUCCUUCGCCGUGGUAUUCCUAAGACGUAAUAUAGCCCUAUCAAUUGCUGGAAUACAUUCAAACAACUUCACGCCUUUCCUCAAGUAAUCUUUCACAUACUUGUUCAUGGACUCCACGCGUUGAGUGGUGCACAUACCACCGAAAAACUGUCCUCUCAGACAUGAUUCAGGCCAUGCGUCUCUUUUUGCAUACAUCAUUUCCAACCAUUCUUUUUGUUUCGGAGUACUCGCUCUUUCCCUCAGAACCUCCCAUUUCUUCUCAAACUCGUCCAAUGCAAAUGGUUCCCAAAUACAUGCCUGAAAAUUUCUAAGCAAUUCAUCAUCCUUCAAGUUAUUUUGUGCAUUCCUUGACACAUGCCAUGAGCACAACCGAUGGUUAGACAUGGGAAACACAUCAUCAAUAGCUUUACGCAUCGCCUCAUCGCCAUCCGUCAAUAUUGAUAUUGGCUUCUUAUCUUUCAUGGAUGCCAAGAAUGUUUCCAAUAACCACUUGUAAGUUUCAAAUGUCUCGUCCUGCAAUAAUGCGCAACCAAACAUUACAGUAGAACGGUAGUUGUUCGAACCGACAAACAACACUAGGGGCUUGUCAUAAACAUUUGUUUUGUACGUGCUGUCAAAUAUGAGGACAUCGCCAUAGGCAAUGUAAUCCAAAAGUGAAGUGGAGUCCCUCCAAAACAAAUUACGAAGCCUAUUUUCCUCGUCAACACUGAACUUACAAAAGAAUUCUGGAUCCAUUGCUCCUUUCGCUUUCAAGUAAGAGAGUGCAGCUUCUGUGUCACCGUCGAGCAAAAUUUCCCUGCGUGAUGCAUCCAACUUAUUGUACAGAUCCUUUAUUUGAAAACCAACAUUUAAAUACCCACCACAUUGGUCGACCAUAUACUCAUAUGUUUGACAUGUUCUAAACAAUGCUCUUCGCAUUCCCACUGCUUGUGCUAAAUCAGAAUUUCGAACGACACGAUUACAUCGGAGAUAUGGUGAUUCAAGUGGAGUAACUAGUUGGUGAUUGUGAUGUGGUUCAAAAUUCGUAACGACGUAAACAUCACUUUUCUUCUCAUAACCCACCCAAAAAUGGGCAGAACAAUUCUCUCUUGUAAUUGGCUUCGGUGGUCAAAUCCUAUCUGAUCGAUCAUUAAACUUCUCAUUUCUCAAACCUUCUUUAGAACAACACCACCGUCUCCUGCAUACUUUCCCUUCCGAAUUUCGAACCAAUUUGUCUUUUCUCACGCUAAAUCCAAUGCCCUUUGCAUAACUCAUAUAAUAUUCUUCCGCUAAUUCUAUCGUUUUAAACUCUUUCCCCAUAACAUCUUCUUUCCUCGGUGCAAUAAUGUCAACACCAUUAUCAUCACUACUUUCACUAAGCAUAUGUUCGACCGACAUAUGCCCACUCUCUGUUGCCGGUGCCCUGUGACUUGACCUUUCACAACCACCCAAAUACCCUGAAUCACUACAACCACCCUUUGAUGUCUCUCCACCCUUGUACAUCGGAGAUAUGGUGAUUCAAGUGGAGUAACUAGUUGGUGAUUGUGAUGUGGUUCAAAAUUCGUAACGACGUAAACAUCACUUUUCUUCUCAUAACCCACCCAAAAAUGGGCAGAACAAUUCUCUCUUGUAAUUGGCUUCGGUGGUCAAAUCCUAUCUGAUCGAUCAUUAAACUUCUCAUUUCUCAAACCUUCUUUAGAACAACACCACCGUCUCCUGCAUACUUUCCCUUCCGAAUUUCGAACCAAUUUGUCUUUUCUCACGCUAAAUCCAAUGCCCUUUGCAUAACUCAUAUAAUAUUCUUCCGCUAAUUCUAUCGUUUUAAACUCUUUCCCCAUAACAUCUUCUUUCCUCGGUGCAAUAAUGUCAACACCAUUAUCAUCACUACUUUCACUAAGCAUAUGUUCGACCGACAUAUGCCCACUCUCUGUUGCCGGUGCCCUGUGACUUGACCUUUCACAACCACCCAAAUACCCUGAAUCACUACAACCACCCUUUGAUGUCUCUCCACCCCUGUCCAUCUUACCAGACCUCUCCAUGCCUGAGAAACAUAAUUUCAAACUGAAAUUACAUUAUACUUUAUGUGCUAACAUACUUUCUCUUAAAAAAAACUCAAAUGAAUAAUGUCAUGCUAUUGCACAUACUAAGGUCAAUAAUUGCACCACGUAUAACUGUUUCGCAACAAAAAACAUGCAAUUGCAUCAACUCAGUACCCAAAAUACAGAAAAUAGGGUUCUUUGAAAUCUUACUUGAUGUUUCCAUACUUUCAAAGCCUCCUCCUUUCACUUCCUUUUGCCACCACCUCAAAUUUCGUCGUUAACACCCAAGGAUCUUCAAAAUCUUUACAACCACGUUAUUAUUACAAAUCCAUUCCCCUGCAACAUUUUAAUUAUAUAUCAGACAAUGCCAACAGCCCAUACUAAAUUACUUAAAUCCCUCCAAUUUGGUGACCAUUUCAUCAUGGAGGUUGGACCCACCAUCAAUUUUGUAUCUGCAUAUCAGUUUUGGGCAACUAGAGAGAAGAGUUGAGGACCUCAAUUCUAUUACCAUUACCUUCUUACAGAUGCGUUUUGCCCAAGCAUAGACAUGAGUUGCUAAGGAUUGGAUUUGGGCAAGCACAGAGAAGAGCUCCUGGAGGCGCUACGGAUUGGAUGGGCUUCAUGUACAGUUUCCUCUGGUGCUGUGACUUCUGUAAGCCCCCCUUCACUUCAGAUGAAAGGGCUAAAGCCCGACUCUCUACUGCUCCGAAAAUUCAGUAUUCACUGAGGUAGACAGGAAAUGGGGUCUCACAGAGUCCUCUAGUUCCCUAUGUUGUGUUCGAUUUGGGAAACCAGAUGGAGCGGACUCGGCGCGUCUUCUUCUCCUCCAAACCUGCCUUUCUCUUUCCUCACAUGCCACUCACAUGCUGAAUCACAAAGGCUGAACAGGUCAUUAAGUCAUUGAAUCUCAGCCAUCCUUUUUUAACAUAGAACCUCAACCGUUGGAUAGCCGGCUGUACCGGUACAGCUGAGGCACCACAGAAUUUUCCUCGUUGGUAUACUGAAGAAAUACAGAAAACAGAAUCAAUUAUUACAAUUCACAACAAUCACAUUUAAUUCUUCAAUCCUCCCUCGCAGCUAUUUCACAAAAUCAGUGAUCACUUCAUCCCCAUUUCUUCGUCCACAAACAAACCACAUACACACACUCUUACAUUAAAAGGUGCAUUAUCUGAUCUUGGGCUGAACUUCAACUUAUCAGGUUUGCACUCAGAAGAAUAUUCUCCGUCAUUCUCGUCGGCUUUUUUCUGCUACAUCUUCAAUGGACGCCGCAAAAUUAUUAAGUCUCUUAAGGACAUGUAUCAUUUCCAAGUCGCUGAAGCAAGGCAAGCUCAUCCACCAAAAGAUGCUCACUCUGGGCUUACAGAACGACCCUGCCCUCUGCAAAAACCUCAUAAACUUUUACUUCUCUUGCCAUUUUUGUGACAGUGCAAAGCUUGUUUUCCAAUCCAUCGAAAACCCAUCCAGUAUUUCCUUGUGGAAUGGCGUCAUGACAGGUUUCACGAAGAACCACAUGUUCGUUGAAGCUCUUGAGCUCUUUGAAAGUUUGCUGCGUUACCCUUAUAUUGGUCCUGAUAGUUACACUUAUCCAAGUGUUCUUAAGGCCUGUGGUGCAUUGGGUCAAGUUGGUUUUGGGAAAAUGAUCCAUAACCAUUUGAUAAAGACUGGUUUCGUAUCAGAUAUUGUGGUUGCCAGCUCUCUUGUGUGCAUGUAUGCUAAAUGCAACGUGUUUGACUGUGCUAUACGGCUAUUUGACGAAAUGCCUGAGAGAGAUGUGGCAUGUUGGAAUACUGUAAUUUCUUGUUAUUAUCAAGAUGGGCAAGCUCAAAAGGCAAUGGAAUUGUUUGAAAAGAUGAGGAACUCUGGCUUUACUCCUAAUUCAGUAACGCUGACAACUGUUAUUUCAUCAUGUGCAAGACUUUUUGAUUUGGAGAGAGGUAUGAAGAUUCACAAGGAGUUGAUAAAAGAUCAGUUGGUUUUGGAUUCUUUUGUUACUUCAGCUCUUGUGGACAUGUAUGGAAAAUGUGGAUGUUUAGAUAUGGCUAAAGAGGUUUUUGAGCAAAUCCCAAUAAAGAAUGUGGUUGCUUGGAAUUCUAUGAUCGCAGCAUACAGUGUAACUGGCGACAGUAUAUCUUGUAUCCAAUUUUUUAGAAGGAUGAAUCGUGAAGGAACGAGUCCCACUUUAACUACUUUUAGCAGCAUAUUGUUGGCCUGUUCAAGGUCAGCCCAACUGCUUCACGGAAAAUUUAUACAUGCAUUCAUGAUAAGAAACAUUAUAGAGGCUGAUAUCUACAUUUACAGCUCACUUAUUGAUCUCUAUUUCGUGUCUGGAAGUGUGUCAUCAGCUAAAAAUGUCUUUGAAAAGAUGCCUAAGACAAAUACAGUUUCCUGGAAUGUUAUGAUUUCUGGAUAUGUGAAAGUGGGUGAUUAUUUUGGGGCUCUGGCCAUAUAUGAUGACAUGAAAGAAGCUGGUGUAAGGCCAAAUGCCAUCACAGUAACUAGUAUCUUAUCGGCUUGUUCACAACUAGCAGCACUGGAAAAGGGUAAGGAGAUUCACAGAACUGUAAUUGAUAGUGAGUUUGAAACCAAUGAAAUAAUGAUGGGGGCUCUUCUUGACAUGUAUGCUAAAUGUGGUGCGGUGGAUGAAGCACUUAAUGUUUUUAAUAGAUUACCAAAUAGAGAUCCUGUUUCAUGGACCUCCAUGAUCACUGCUUAUGGAUCUCAUGGUCAAGCUUUAGAAGCUUUGAAGCUUUUUGGUGAAAUGCAGCAAUCCAAUGCAAAACCUGAUGGAGUUACUCUUCUUGCAGUUCUAUCUGCUUGUAGCCAUGUGGGGCUAGUUGAUGAAGGUUGUCACUUUUUCAAUCAAAUGAUCACCAACUAUGGAAUUAAACCUAGAAUAGAACAUUACUCUUGCUUGAUAGAUCUUCUUGGACGUGCUGGAAGAUUGAAUGAAGCUUACGAAAUUCUCCAAAGAACUUCAGAAAUUAGGGAGGAUGUUGACUUGUUAAGCACACUAUUUUCCGCAUGUCGUUUGCACAGAAAUCUAGAUUUGGGUGUGAAAAUUGCAAGAUUGCUAAUUGAGAAGAAUCCCGAUGAUCAUUCAACUUAUAUCAUGUUAUCAAAUACUUAUGCUUCUGUCAAAAAAUGGGAUGAGGUAAAGAAGGUGAGAUUGAAGAUGAAAGAAUUGGGAUUAAGGAAAAAUCCGGGGUGUAGCUGGAUUGAGAUUAACAAGAAGAUCCACCCCUUCUUUGUCGGAGACAAGUCCCACCCACAAUCAGAAAUGGUAUGUGAAUGUCUCACAUUUCUUGCCAGUCACAUGGAGAGAGAUGAGCUGCUUUCAAACUGAGCAGCAGGCAUGGGUUAUACUAUAUAGAAGCAUUUACUUGUAUACUUCACUCACUGGAGAACAAACGGAUGUGGUCAGAAUCCCUCGUAUAGGAUCCGUAGAACUUUGUGUUCCUUCAGAGGGCAAGGAGAUAUGAUAUGGAACUUUGGUUCUUUGAUUUAUAGCAGAUUUGGUUAUGGGCUAAUUCAAAGGUGGAGGUGACUUCUUUGCUAAUGGCAGCAGUGCUGAAACAAGGAUGUUAUCCUUGGGGCUUAAGAUGAAAGGCCAACCACUGUUUUCAAGUAUAAUCGGCACCUUGAUGCAGAUAUGAUAGAGGAAAAUAUAACACAUCUUCUCCCGCUCUAAUAGAAGUUGGAAUCAUCCGAGUACUGGACUGAAGGGAGAAAAGAAAUUCACUCCUUUCUGGAAUGCUGUGCAAGUUUUGUUAUGUUAAAUUCUUUGUAGGGCUGCACAUAUCGAAGGAUUCCAUGUAAAUUUUUAACAAUGCGUUACGUUAUUUGAAGAAUAAAGUGUUUUGAUUAUGCAACGGUUUCAAACAAAGAAUUCUUGAAUGAUUAGAAUCCGUUGUCGUCCAGCAGUUAGGAUUACUGGCUUUCACCCAGAAGACCCAAGUUCGAUCUCAACAACGAAGCUGUUUAUUUCUUUCUUCAAUUAAUACGGUUUGUUUUUAUUGUUCAUUCUUAUUUUAAGUUUUCUCAAGAACUUAUUCAUUUCUUAGGGUUAUCAAGCUACAUUGGAGUCCUCCUCUCUCCUAGAGUUAAACUCAGCAUUGUUUCUAAAAAUGCUCUAGUCUCUGUGAACUGUAUUUUUAUUUUAUAUAUAUAUAUAUGUGACAUUGGAGAAGGGAGGAAUCGAACUUAAAACUACGGGUGUAAGGAUAAAUAUUCGUAACUAACUACGGGUGUAAGGAUAAAUUUUCUUAACUACUUGAGCUCUAAGCCAUUCUCUUCGAAUUGAAUUCUAGACGAUGACGAAAUGGACAUGUAUGCAGCGUUUAAUAACGAGGGCUUAGACCUGCCAAUUUAACAACGCAAAAGAAGAGUUCCUAUCUUCCAAAAACAAUAGAAUUUAUAUACAUAAUGUUGGAAGUAAUGAACAGAAAUCCGUUGUCGUCCAGCGGUUAGGAUAUCUGGCUUUCACCCAGGAGACCCGGGUUCGAUUCCCGGCAACGGAAUUUUUGAACUUUUUUUUUUUUGCUUUUUUGGUUCGAUUUCAUUUUCAAUUUCCAAAUUUUCUCAUAAAUUAAAUUAAAAUUUUUUGGGUCAAAAAAUAAAUAAAAUAAGGUUUGCAGUUAAAGUGUUUUAGAUUUAUCCAAAUACAGCAGAUACGACGCCAAGUCCAAGUUAAGGAAGGUCUGCUGCGUGCUGCGUGUGUGCUGGCCAAGCAACUUGAGCCCCACUCCCCGUCCUCCCUCCUCUCCUCUCCUCCAAAUCAACCAUAAAUAAAACCCUAAACCCACUUUCUCUCUCCAUAUCACCAUCAUUCUUCAGUCAAAAGAAGCUUAAACGCAUUCUCAAAAGGCUUGAGACACAGACAGAUAUGGCUAAGGAAAAUAGCUGCUUGACACGCGUGGCAACCGGAGCUGCAAUCGGUGGAGCCAUCGGUGGUGCCGUCGGUAAUUCUCUAAAAUCCCUUUUCAAAUUUUAUUCGAAACCCUUGCUUUUGUUCUAGCGUUAGGGUUUAGGAACAUGUACUGUUUCCUAAUUUUUGUGUUUUUUUCUUUCUGUUUUGAUCUGUUGCAUAUCUUGGUUUGUGGAAUCGUGCUUUUUCUCUUUUACAAGUUUCUUUUUUGUUCAUCUGGGCACUUGGGAUUUUAUUUUUAAGAAUGUUUUUGGAACGUGUAAAUGCUUGUUCUUAUGUUUGUUUUGAUGUGCCUGGGGAAAUUAAAGCGAUUUAGAAGCAUUCUAGUUUUUAUUGUAAAUUGGUGUUUUUUCUGACCCUUGUUUUUGGGGGGUUUUCAGUCACUAGGUAAAGUUGUACUCUUAAAAUAUGCGCACAUUCUUGUUGUAUAGAUAUAGCUCAGUCUAUUUUGUUAUGUUCCCGUGUCGUCGUGAUACAUAUGUAUAUGGUAGGUGGGCUCUUGUUAAAGCACUUUGUUGUUGUAAUGUUUUAUGUUGAGCUUGAUACUUAAUUAGAAGAUGAUAUUUUCUGGCCACGAUUAUUUUUGCCUCUACUAAAAUUCCUAGAGCUUUUCUGGCCAUGAUUCCAUGAAAACUAGGAUGGAAAUCACUUAAGAUAAAUUAGUUAGCUAGCUCGAGAAAAAAGGGGUUAACAUAUGUUUGUUUUUUCUUGUAUCACUAGUUCAUGAUUUGAAAGUCUAACCCUUGUCAUUUGCAUAAUGUUAUACAGUCAUAUUUUUAUGUGUAUGUACAGGUUCGGUGUAUGGGACAUAUGAGGCUAUAAGGUUUAAGGUACAUUCUCGGAUUUCAUGCUGAACUUCCACUCAAGAGCUUGUAGUCAUUAUCAUCUUUUGUCUUUUUUAUUUAUAUAUAAGAAGACCUAGAUGAAGGAUUUAUGUUCUUUUUCUUAAGGUCUCAAAAUUAUUUUUGUUUUUUAGUUUGGUUCAAACAAAUUGGAUUCCUUGGUUGAUCAAUGUAAAUUAUUUAAGCUAGAGUCCAUUUGGCAUAGCUGCCACAAGUACACCUUUGCAAAGAGUCUCUUUUGGAAGAAUAAAUUUUUUUUAUGCUUCUCCAAUAUUCUGCAUCUUUUUCUUUGGCGAAAACAUAAAAAUCUUUAAGAGAACAGUCAAAUAACAGAAAAAAGUUAUCUAAAGUGCUUUCUCUGAAAUGGUUUUAAUGGUGCUCCAGAAGGUCUGCCGAAGUGACCUUAGAACGAUUGUUCUCUCCAAUAUAAUGGAGUUUAGUUAGAAAAAGUUUAUUAAUCCUUGAAGUAUUUGUUAAAUGUCUUCACAAGGUUUGGAAAUUUCAUGGUUUUGAUUCUUCAAAAAAUAUUCUGUCAAUAGUAUCAGAAAACUUUUUCUUAAAAAAAAAAAAAAAAAAAAAUGUAUAAGAAAACUUUAACCCAAAGGGGUAGCUUAAUUGGUAAAGUGUUGUAUCUCUGGAAACAAAGGUGCUCUGUUUGACUCUCUUCAACCCCUUGGGGCCAACUUCCCUACUGAUGCAGCAGGAAUAGCUUGGUUAGAAAAGAACUAUCCUAGGCCUCAGUUUGAAAGGGUAUGUAUCUUUUCUAACUAAGCUGUUACUGCUGGAUCAACUGUAGUUGUAGUUCUCAUAGCUCUAUAAUGAUUGAGCUUAUUGUACUAUAUAUGCUUGGCCAAAUGAGAAAUUAGACAUAAAAAUCUUCUGGCUGAUGCAGAUGCCAGGGCUUCUGAAGAUCAGACACGUUGGACAAACAACGCUUUCAAGUGCAGCUCUGUUCGGUCUUUUCUUAGGUGCUGGGAGCUUGAUUCAUUGUGGAAGGAAUUAAGCUCUUUCCUGUAUUAAGAUGAACUGAUUUUGUUCUGUUUACGAAGUUCUGCUUUUGAGCAUGAAGUUAGAUUCUACAGAGAUGGUGUGUUGUAGUGAUUAGUCGUUUCUUCAAAGUCAAUAUUUAUGUUUUGUGGUUUAUGCCUUUAAUGUUAUUUUGGAAUUUUGACUGUAGCUUAUCUUUUCUUCCAGUUGCUGCACACCAUGAUAUGAUCGUUUACUUCACAUAUUCUGUCUCUCAGCAAUUAUUAUCUUUUUAUUUUAUUUUUAAGGUGAUGCCAGUAAUUCAAUUGAUGAUUUCUUCUCCUGUUCUCACCUUGGGAUGCACAUAAUUGUAUUUUCUUGUCCAUCACUUUGUAGGUUAGCUAGCUCAUUGUAUAAGAUUCUUGACAUCUCAUUAGUCCUUUCUUUGUGAAAAAAGAAAGAAAAAGGAUGAGUCACUUUUGGGUUAGCUGAUUGUAGAAGUCUAGUGUAUCUCGUUAGUACUUCCUUCUAGAUUCACAAGCCAUGAAUAUUUAGAGCAACUUGUACUCUACCAGUGAGACCCAAAAAGUUGUUCUACACGGUAGCAGCUUCAGUGUCUCUUUUAUAGCUUAAAAUUUGGUUCCAGGGGCGUCUUGUAUUAGAAGUUGUCACUUCCUUGUAACCACAACUUUAAUUAAGGGUUUAUUAUCACAAAACGUCCUUAAGGUUUACAAAACUAUCAAAUUGCAUUUUUAAUGUUUUUUUUUUUUUGUCAUUCGUGGUCCUCAAGAUUAGUAUGUGUGAUCACAAAUGGUUCCUGCCGUUAGGUUCCGUUAAAAACUCUGUUAGUUUGCUGACAUGACAUAUACAUAUAUUACAAAACAUUCGUGAGGUUCACACAUCUUUCACAAAUAGUCCCUACAAAUUUUUUUAAUUUUGUUUCACUUAAAAUUCAUAAAAUUUUGGUUUUCAUUUUAAAAUUAUUUAUAAAUGAAAAAACCAUUUAUAGAAAGAUUUUAAUCUUGAUGACCAUUUAUGAACCCAAAACCCUUAGUUUUUUCAUUUUUAUAUUUUAUAAAUUUUAAAUUAUUUUUUAAAAACUCAAUUAGUUUGUUGAUGUGGCAUAUAUAUGGAGCCAAUAUCUACAAUAAUAUAGUGUUACAUUUAUUUAAAAUAUAUAGUCCUGAUCUCUUGGACUAUAAGGGUCCAAGAGAUUUGUGGUCACUCAUCAUUGGAUGUAAAUUCAACGGUUCACUCACUCUUGCACUCCUUUUAAAAAACUUUUUUGAACCAUUGGAUUAAUAUCCAACGGUGGGUGACCACAAUCUCUUGGAUUCCUGUGGUUCAAGAGAUCGGGAUUGUUAAAAUAUAAUAUAUAUUUUUAAAUAAUUUAAAAUUCAUAAAAUUUUAAAAAGAAAACCAAAAUUUUAUGAAUUUUAAAUUAAAAAAUUAAAAAAUUUCAUAGGCACCAUUUGUGAUAGGUGCGUAAACCUCAAGGAUGUUUUGUGAUAUAUGUAUAUGCCACGUCAGGAAACUAACGGAGUUUUUGACGGAACCUAACGACAAGGACCAUUUGUGAUCACACAUACUAAUCUUGAGGAUCAUGAAUGACAAAAAAAAAAAAACAUUAAGGAUGCAAUCUGAUAUUUUCGUAAAUCUUAGGGACGUUUUGUGAUAAUAAGCCUUAUUUAAGUUUGUAUUGCAAUAUCAAUGAGCAAGUUUUAUCAUUGAUGUUUGCUGUAUGUUAUAUUGGUAUGCAUCUUGCCAAGUUUAAACAUGUUAAUUAAUUACAAAUCAUUCUUCAGAUACAUGCCUCAAUAUGAACAUUAUAAGAAGUUAAUAGAAAAUUAAAGGCCAAAAGUUACUUUUGGUCCCUAUAGUUUAGCACUUCAAUCACAUUUGACUAUGUAGUUUUAAUUCUGUUAAUUUCAUCAUUGUAGUUUUGUAUUUGUAGCAAUUCAAGAACAAGUUAAUAUUCUUGUCAAUUUCUUUGACGGUGCAAAGGGCAAUUUCGUCAACCCAAAUACCCAAUUUCAUAUUAGGGCUCAAAAUUCAACCACUAAUCCCAAUUUUUGAAGAACCCUAUACUCAAAUGGCCAAUUUCAAGCCUUAAUAUGAAAUAAGGAGAGUUUACUACGAGCUUUUACAUUCAAGGGUUUUAGGUUGACCAAAUUGUCCCUUGCACUGUCAAAGAAUUUGACAUGAAUAUUAACUUCUUGCCCUUGACUUACUACAAAUAUGAAACUACAUGGUCAAAAUUGACGGAAUUUAAACUACAGGGUCAAAAGUGGUUAAAGUGCCAAACUACAAGAACCAAAAGUGACUUUUAGGGCACUGGACUAAAAGGUCACUAUUGUAUUAAUUUUUCAUUUCACCCAAAAGUCUACCUGGACUUCAUCCGACCAUAACUUAUAUAGUAGUUUCGACCUUGUGUUGCACAUUAUAUGCGAUAUAAUCCCACAAUGCUAUUAAAGUUGGGGCUCAGAUCAGGUGAGAAUGGUAAAAUGAGAACAUUAUAUAAGAAUUAAUCCUAGCCAUGCAAAGCCAUCUGAACGACUGAGGAGAAAAAGCAAGCUUACAAUACAAACGGGUACACUGCACUUUCCCCUUAGCUAACGUGUUCUGCCGUGCUUUUUCCAAUCCUGCCCAAUACCCCUACCUUUGAAUUCAUUUUUUUAAGACUCCCUCUUAUUCAUCUCAAAAAGAUUAUCCUCUCUCAAUACAAUCCCCUGUUUUCUUUGGUCAAAAUCGAUAUGGUUCUCUCGAAUUCCUUCUCUCUCUUUGAUAUUAAGGUUUGCAUUUACUUAAUGUUUAAUUUUUUUUUAAGGAUUUUAGGGCUUUGAUUUUGUAGGUUUAGGAUUUUAAGGCUUUGCUUUUUUGGGUAAGACUACUCUUUCUCGGUUCUAGUUGGGUUUCCAAAAAUAUAAAUUGGCUUCAGUUGCUUUGUGACAACCCGAUCCUAAAUUAAUAGUUAAAUAUUAAAUUAUUCAAGGAAAAGACAAUUUUACCCCGGGAAUAUUGAAAUGAUUUAAGAGUUGACUUUUUAUUCGGGGAGGUUAAAUGAUUAAAAUAAGAGGAAGUAAAUUUACAUGAGAAAAUAAAGUGAAAUAAACAAUAAAAUAAAAUGAUUUGAAUUAAUUUAGGCUUUUGAAAAUUAAAGAUAUUAUUUAAUAUAAAAAGGGGCAAAAAUGUCAUUUUAAGUUUGGGAAGAAAUUUGGAAACUUCGAUUGUACCGUUGUGUAGAGCACAGCGAGAUGAGUCCGUAGACACAUAGUGGGCUCAGAUCCGAGUUGUAACGAGAGAGAUACGAUCAAAAUUCAAGUACGGGCAAAAUCGUAAUUGUGCCAAACUGGUUUUUAAAACCAAAAUCUCUCUCUCUCCUCUCCCCCCCCCCCCCCUAAAAACAGCACCUUUAGUUUUCUGCCCGCCAUCUCCUCCACCGGUCACCAAAUUUAAUGAUUUUGGUACCAAAACGUCAAGCUCACUUCCCUCUUCCCGUCCCGACCAACCUCAGUCGCUGGAACCACCGGUGCUGGCCGGAAAAUGCAAAAAUCCAAACUGUUUUUGACAGAUUUUCUCAAGCUUCGUUCGAACGAUUUCGGGCACCAAAUCUUGGGAUCCAGGUAUGCUUUUCCAUCUAUUCUUCGAGUUCUAGCUGAUUGUUGGGUAGGAUUUGAUUGAUUUGUAUCAUAGAUAACCCGAAAUACGAAUUGAAAUUUGGCCAGUUUUCAAAUUGAGAUUCCGGCCACUUCCGGUCAUUUUUCGAGGUAGGUCCAAUAACAAAAGUGGUUCCAAAUAGGGUGUUAUACCUAGGAUAGGAGUUUGGGUUGGCGGUUUGGAGUAUUUCCGGCUGCCGAAAAUUGGUCAAGCCACCCAUGCUCUCCCAGCGCGUGUGGCGGCGCGUGGGCUGCAUAGUGAGGUCACUCUCAGUCCUAGAAUGAUCCUCGUGCUGUCACGAGCACGUAGGAAUUCGCAUAUCUCAAUUUGGAUAACGUUUGAGCCCCGAUCGAAUUUCGCAUAUUGUGCGAUUUCCGGGUUUCAUAUAUUUAAACCGUUGGAUCGUAGUUAUUCUCGUAUAUGUCAAUCUAGACAAUUUCCGGAUCGUGUAGGAUUCAACGGAUCGGGAAUCGGAGUCCAGGAUACUCCGAAAAGGCCAACCAUAGGGCUAGGUUUACAAUAACCGUCCGAUCGUGCGAUCGUGAGUAGUUCGACCAUCCGAUCGAGACCAAACUCUCGGGACAUGUGUCCUAGGCAUGUUAAGACCUCUAGGAACUCUCGGAUUGGAAUCUUGAGGUCGUGGACCUCACGGGGUCCCAGGUUGACUUUUUGGGACUUAUCGCUUUUUGAGUCCCGAGGCACCUCUAGACCGUUCUAAUCAUUGGAAAUGCUUACAUAGACUUGAGAAUGACUUCAAAUACAAUGCACGCACUUCUAGGAGCCCAGGUCCAGGACUUUGGAUUAAAUAAUGAGGAUGAGCUCCACAGGAUAUGGUUGAGCUUUUAGAAAGCUCAUGUGCAUGCGAGUGUUCACUUGGUUUAGUUGUAGUUCUAAUUUCAAAUUUUAUGUGAUUUCGAGAUGAGUAUUUAAUUACCUGUUUAUUUAUCACUUGUUUAUAUAUGUUCAUAUGGUUAAUUGUGUGGUAAGAGUAUAAAUAAAAUAUUGGUACGCUAAGCAGAGAUCGAGAUAGUUAACAAACUAGCCAAGUAUUUAGUAUAUAUAUAUAUAUAUUCAGUAGUUGAAAAGGAUGAAUCUUAGCUUUUGGCUUUUAUCAUAUUGUGGUAUAUAUAUAUGUAUAUGUAUAUAUUUUAAGUUUAGUUGAGAACCAAUUUAUUAAAAGUUUAUAUAAAUGACGAGUUACGGUUUUCAAACCCACCGCGAGGGUACUCCCCAGUUGCCUUGAGACAGUUUGUUAUUUUGAUGAUGCCCCACAAGUUUCGGGGACGCCUGAACCAUGUGGUGAGAGGAUUGUGGCUCAGAUUGAAGUGUUAUCUCUGAGACCUGCAAGAAAUGUGGCUCGAAUGGACUUGGUGUCUCUGGGACCUACGAGGAUUGCGACUCAGAUUGAAGUGUUAUCUCUGAGACCUGCGAGGAAUGCGGCUCGGUUAACUUUAUGGUUUCGAGACCUGCGAGAAUGGAAUUGACGGACUAACAUUGGAAUUGACGGAUAUAUGGAAUUUAUGGCAUAUAUGGAAUUGACGGUAUUAAAGGAAUUGACGGAUCAGAAAUGGGGGUACGCCUAGGUGGAGAGAAUUUAAGUCCUGAGAUGCUUUUAAAUUAAAUUGAGAAUUUUAUACGGCUACCAUUAUUUUCUUAAGCGUCACAUUUGUUUUACAAGUGUUAGAUGGAAAUAUGCAUAUAGAUUCUAAUUAAGUUGUUGAUAUAUAUAUAUAUUUAUGAACCUUACGGGAGUUUCAAUACAAGGAUACAAGGGU
This 31844-nucleotide long non-coding RNA is filed under the name Prunus persica (peach). RNAcentral's name for it is "long non-coding RNA (PPER_LNC004611)". The stretch from base 24126 to 24197 matches the Rfam family "tRNA". The record is from RNAcentral. Lineage: Eukaryota; Viridiplantae; Streptophyta; Magnoliopsida; Rosales; Rosaceae.